This 253-nucleotide ribosomal RNA is filed under the name uncultured bacterium. Its description in RNAcentral is "partial 16S ribosomal RNA". It matches the Rfam family "Bacterial small subunit ribosomal RNA", at positions 524 to 776 of the family's 1533-position model. The record is from RNAcentral.
UACGUAGGGUGCGAGCGUUGUCCGGAAUUAUUGGGCGUAAAGAGCUUGUAGGCGGUUUGUCGCGUCUGCUGUGAAAAUCCGGGGCUCAACCCCGGACUUGCAGUGGGUACGGGCAGACUAGAGUGUGGUAGGGGAGACUGGAAUUCCUGGUGUAGCGGUGAAAUGCGCAGAUAUCAGGAGGAACACCGAUGGCGAAGGCAGGUCUCUGGGCCACUACUGACGCUGAGGCGCGAAAGCUAGGGGAGCAAACAGG